GGGGAAUCUUGCGCAAUGGGCGAAAGCCUGACGCAGCAACGCCGCGUGGGGGAUGAAGGCUCUCGGGUUGUAAACCCCUUUCAGCAGGGACGAAUCAAGACGGUACCUGCAGAAGAAGCCCCGGCUAACUACGUGCCAGCAGCCGCGGUAACACGUAGGGGGCAAGCGUUGUCCGGAUUUAUUGGGCGUAAAGAGCUCGUAGGUGGCUGAGUAAGUCGGAUGUUAAAUCCCCAGGCUCAACCUGGGACACCACCCGAUACUGCUCUGGCUAGAGUCCGGUAGGGGAGCGUGGAAUUCCUGGUGUAGCGGUGAAAUGCGCAGAUAUCAGGAGGAACACCAGCGGCGAAGGCGGCGCUCUGGGCCGGUACUGACACUGAGGAGCGAAAGCGUGGGUAGCAAAC
Molecule: ribosomal RNA, 401 nt
Filed under: uncultured bacterium
Lineage: Bacteria
Description: bacterial SSU rRNA
Rfam family: Bacterial small subunit ribosomal RNA
Source: RNAcentral